This 96-nucleotide non-coding RNA is filed under the name Achromobacter piechaudii. RNAcentral's name for it is "Glycine sequence". It matches the Rfam family "Glycine riboswitch aptamer". From Rfam's summary of the family: This family represents the bacterial glycine riboswitch. Glycine riboswitches usually consist of two metabolite-binding aptamers domains with similar structures in tandem. Lineage: Bacteria; Pseudomonadati; Pseudomonadota; Betaproteobacteria; Burkholderiales; Alcaligenaceae. The record is from RNAcentral.
CGCAUGUCUGCGGGAGAGAGCGCCCCUUUUUCAGGGUCGCCGCCGAAGGCGCAAUUCGCCCAGAAUCGCUCAGGUAACCGAUACCGCACAUGCUUG